This is a long non-coding RNA of Xiphophorus couchianus (Monterrey platyfish), 1372 nucleotides long. RefSeq lists it as uncharacterized. NCBI's taxonomy places the organism in Eukaryota, Metazoa, Chordata, Actinopteri, Cyprinodontiformes, Poeciliidae. The record is from RefSeq and is a predicted model, not a curated record. The transcript has 2 exons.
GCGAGUGAAAGCAUCUGAAUUUAUUACGUCUCUAUAUGGCGAUUAACAUAAAUGUACAAUCCUUAAAAAAAAAAAUUCAAAAAAUUUUUUGUAUUCCAUUCAUCCAUUUCUAUCUAAGGGGAACACACUCACACCUAGGGACAAUUUGGAGUGACCAAUUUCUUACCUUGUUGUCAUGUUUUUGGAAUGUGGGAGGAAACCCGGAGGAAACCCACGCAUGCACAGGGAGAACAUGCAAACUCCUGCAGUAGUUCUGGGAAGUGAACCCACAACCUUCCGACUGCAAGGCAACAACCUUACGGACUGAGCCACUGUGCAGCCCGCUAUAGAAUGGCGCUACUAUUAAUAUAUCUCUUAGCAUUUUUACGUCACCGCCGUUCUCGACUGACUACGUAAGAGAAGCAUCCGGGGUCUUUUGUCGCACGUCACACUUCCGUUGAAAACAACACCACGUGCGUUGCCCAUGAACGCAGUAGCUGUCACUUCCAGCGGGAUUAAAAGCGGCAUUUAUUUAACGUAGAAAUGCAGACUGGUUGAAGCUAGUUUGAACCAAAAAAGUCAAGCUUCGGAGAAGGUAGGGGUUGAGUUUGUAGCGGCUAUUUUGCUUGCCAAACGGAACCACCGGUCAAGGAAACCGGUGUCGCUUGAAUUAGCUCAUGUCCUCAAAUCUCCAAACACGUUCGACGUUCACCUUUGAAGGGUUUUGUGAAAAUAGCUCAUGCUAGCAAACGCUUUGCACCUCGUUAUGCUCCUGAAGUAAUUUGUGAAAUGCAAUUAAAUAACAUUACAUUGUAAGAAAGUGAGACUUGGAAGCUAACGUUAACUUGAGGCAGCAAACGCUGACUGCAAACCCGGCCGCUUCAUCUGCUCAGUGACGUGAGCAGUGAGCUCACUGCUCACGUCACUGAGCAGUGGUGUUGGUGGUGGCUCACACCGUCGCUAACGUAUUCCGUCACACACUUUAUUUCUCUUUUCUUUUCUCUUCCAUUCACUGAAAUUGGUGAGAAAUGAUUUGUGUUGUGCACAAUCCACAAUCUGUUUUGUUGUUUUCUUCUCCUCUGACUCCCCGUGUGAAUUUUCUCACGGCGCCUCAGAGUCUCAACCGAGUUUGAGAGAAACGGGAGACUUGAGGGCUCAAGAGUCUCAACCGAGUUUGAGAGAAACGGGAGACUUGAGGGCUCAAGGUGAGCUUAUACCUGCUGCCCCCCAACACACACACACACACACACACACACACACACACACACCGCUUCCCAUGUAGCGUCAGGCCCGCGCUGCUUUGCCCUGAGUGUGUAGGAGUUGCAGCAGUGUGUUGUUGCAGCUUUGUUGCUGCGGUUGCAUGGCUGUGUGACGUGCCGCUCUGCUAACGCUG